GAUGAACGCUGGCGGCGUGCCUAAUACAUGCAAGUCGAGCGAAAAGACGAGGAGCUUGCUCCACUGAAGUUAGCGACGGACGGGUGAGUAACAGGUGGAUUACCUACCUAUAAGACUGGGAUAACUGCGGGAAACCGGAGCUACUACCGGAUAAUAUAUUGAACGGCAUGGUUGAAUAGUGAAUGACGGUUUUGAUGUCAUUUAUAGCUGGAUCCGCGCUGGAUUAGCUAGUUGGUAAGGUAACGGCUUGCGAUGGCAACGAUGCGUAGCCGACCUGGGAGGGUGUUGGCCCACUGAGGGGCUGGACCGCGAUCCUGACUCCGACGGGAGGCAGCAGUAGGUAAUCGAGCGCGAUGUGGGAAAGCCUGACGAAGCGGCGCCACGUUGAUGAUGAGAGUCUUCGUAUCGGAAGACUCUGUUAUGGUUGAAGAACAAAUGUGUAAGUAACGAUGCACUUCUUGACGGUACCUAGUCAGGAAGCCACGGCUAACUACGUG
Molecule: ribosomal RNA, 497 nt
Filed under: uncultured bacterium
Lineage: Bacteria
Description: partial 16S ribosomal RNA
Rfam family: Bacterial small subunit ribosomal RNA
Source: RNAcentral